This 764-nucleotide ribosomal RNA is filed under the name uncultured Thermaceae bacterium. RNAcentral describes it as "bacterial SSU rRNA". It matches the Rfam family "Bacterial small subunit ribosomal RNA", at positions 588 to 1355 of the family's 1533-position model. Lineage: Bacteria; Thermotogati; Deinococcota; Deinococci; Thermales; Thermaceae. The record is from RNAcentral.
UCCGAUGCUAAAGACUGGGGCUCAACCCCAGGGGUGCGUUGGAUACUGUGAGGCUAGACGGUCGGAGGGGGUAGCGGAAUUUCCGGAGUAGCGGUGAAAUGCGCAGAUACCGGAAGGAACGCCAAUAGCGAAGGCAGCUACCUGGACGACUUGUGACGCUGAGGCGCGAAAGCGUGGGGAGCAAACCGGAUUAGAUACCCGGGUAGUCCACGCCCUAAACCAUGAGUGCUGGGUGUCCGGCUUCUGCUGGGUGCCGUAGCUAACGCGCUAAGCACUCCGCCUGGGAAGUACGCACGCAAGUGUGAAACUCAAAGGAAUUGACGGGGGCCCGCACAAGCGGUGGAGCAUGUGGUUUAAUUCGAAGCGACGCGAAGAACCUUACCAGGCCUUGACAUGCCCGGAACCCCUCUGAAAGGAGGGGGUGCCCGCAAGGGAGCCGGGACACAGGUGCUGCAUGGCCGUCGUCAGCUCGUGUCGUGAGAUGUUGGGUUAAGUCCCGCAACGAGCGCAACCCCUAUCCCUAGUUGCCAGCAGUUCGGCUGGGCACUCUAUGGAGACUGCCUGCGAAAGCAGGAGGAAGGCGGGGAUGACGUCUGGUCCGCAUGGCCCUUACGGCCUGGGCGACACACGUGCUACAAUGCCAAGGACAGAGCGCUGCUACCUCGCGAGAGGACGCCAAUCGCAAAAACCUUGGCUCAGUUCGGAUUGGAGUCUGCAACUCGACUCCAUGAAGCCGGAAUCGCUAGUAAUCGCGAAUCAGCCAU